This is an RNA transcript of Spinacia oleracea (spinach), 6596 nucleotides long. RefSeq lists it as uncharacterized. The record is from RefSeq and is a predicted model, not a curated record. The transcript has 9 exons. Lineage: Eukaryota; Viridiplantae; Streptophyta; Magnoliopsida; Caryophyllales; Amaranthaceae.
ACCUUCCCCCCCCCCCUCUUUCCCACCCUCCUGCCUUCACUCCUCUCAAACCCUAGUUCUUCGCUUCACUGAAAACAGGUAAAAAUGUACCAAAUUAGCUAUGUUGCGAAAUAAUCUGAAGCUCAAAUUGAAGCAAUUUGUUUUUGAAUUUCGAUUUCAAGCAGAGGAGCGACUUUCUUUAACUAAUUGGAUUUUUUCCGGCGCCUCAAACACCGCGUACUAUAAUUUUUCUGUACUUUCACGGAGUUUCUUAAGGUCAAUAUGGGUUUUGACAAUGAUUGCAUUUUAAAUAUUCAAUCACUUGCUGGAGAAUAUUUCUGUCCUGUAUGUCACCUUCUUGUGUACCCAAACGAGGCUUUGCAAGCGCAAUGCACUCACCUUUACUGCAAACCUUGUCUGACUUAUGUUGUUAGCUCCACACAUGCCUGCCCCUAUGAUGGAUACAGGGUGACUGAAGCCGAUUGCAAGCCACUUUUGGAGUCAAACAAAGCAUUGGCAGACACAAUCGGAAAAAUACAAGUUCAUUGCCUCUAUUAUAGGACUGGAUGUACAUGGCAAGGUCCUUUUACCGACUGCAUAACUCAUUGCUCUACAUGUUCAUUCGGGGAGUCUCCAGUUCUAUGCAACAGAUGUGGAGUUCAAAUUGUGCACCGCCAGGUGCAGGAACACGCACAAAGCUGUCCUGGUGUGCAAUCUCAGGUGCAACAACCGGGCACUGUCCAGGACAGCACAUCCACAGGAGCCGUUGCUGCUGUAGAGCAAAGCCAGACUGCAGCUCAGAAUGGGUUACCUGUUUCUCAAGCACAGACAUCACAAGCUUCUGCCCCGCUUGUAUCCAGCCAAGAUAUCCAACUAGCCAGUUCAGUUGGGCAACCACAAGCUGCACAAGUUGCCAUGCCAAAUGCAGAACAGUGGUAUCAGCAACAGCAACAGCAACAGCAACAGUACCAGCAGCAAUACCAACAGUACUAUCAGCAGUAUCCUGGAUAUGAUCCUUACCAACAGAACUAUCAAUAUUACUAUCAAUAUCAACAAGGAGCUCAACAGUAUCCACAACAGCCCAUGCAAGGUUACCCUCCUCAGGUUUCUGGUCAAGCUCAGACUCAACCCCAACAACAGGUCCAGCCUCAUGCUCAGCCCCAGGCACAACAGCAGCCCCAAGCUCAGACCCAGCCACAACAGCAGCCUCAACCUCAACCCCAGCCACAGCAGCAGCCACAGCAGCAGCCCCAAGCUCCACCCCGAACUGCACCGCCUCCACCACAAACAACUGCACAACCAGCAUCGAAUGCACAGUCCCAAGUCCAGUCAGUGGGUCAAGCGCAACCUCAAAUUCAGACUCAGGGUCAAGCACCUCCAUCUCAUGCCCUUCCAUAUAAUCAAUCUCAGCCAUUACCCCAGGCUCAACCCUACACUCAGCCACAGCCUAUUUCUCAACAGCAGACACAGCUGCCUCAGUACCAACAAACUAAUCCUUAUGCCCAAUCUUAUCCACCAUCACAAACCCAAACCCAGCAUUACCCCUAUCCACAUCCUCAAUCACACCCCCAGCCCCAGCCCCAGCCCCAUUCCCAACCGAUUAUGCAGGCGCCUGUUCACCCACCUUCCCAACAGAACCAGCUUAUGAAUCCCAAUGCCCAGCCUCAGACUCAGAAUUCUGUAACUGGUUACCAAUCGUACCCGCAGCCACAGCCUCAUCCGCAAGCACAAGUGGGAGCUGCGCAUCCAAUGCAUUCUUCGGGUGUCCAGCCGCAGCCUCAGUACCCUGCACAAGCACAGGGGAAAUAUCCUUCACAACCUUCUCAGAUGUAUCCUCCUCAACCUUAUUCGAACGUGGCAAAUCAACAACAGCAUAUGUCGUCUGCACAAGGUCAGGCUCCGCCGAGUGGGCCUUCUGCACAACAGCUCCCUGUUUAUCCUCAUUCCCAGCAACCUGGGUAUCCAUUUCAGCAUCGUCCCGGUGUUCAGGCUGCACAGCAAGCUGCACCACAGCAGUAUGGACAACAGCAAUCGUUCCCUGGGCACGGUCCAUAUACACAGCCACAGCCACCUAUGACAGCUCAAUUACAUGCCCAGGGACCCCCUCAAACGACACAGCAACCUCAGCAGAAUUAUGCACCAGGGUAUGGUGCUCAGCCUAAUACUGCUCAAAAUUAUGCAGCUAGACCAGUUGCAAUGCAAGGAGCUGGAUCCCAGCCAUAUGCCCAAGCUGCGGGACCUGCUGCUAUUGGUCAGGUUAGGCCUCCACAGCUAAAUCAGACUUACCCCAUGAGAACUGACAACCAGUUAUCUGCUACUUCUGAACAGCAGGCUGGUCAUCCCCAACAAUCUUCAAGAGCAACAGGCGGUGGGAAGCCUCGUGAUCAAAUUGAAUCUAACAAGGAGUCUGUUGUAGGGACUCAGGUGAAUGAAGUUAAAAUAAAAUCAGAAAAUUCCAUGGACGGUAAUGUGAACGGAAAUGAAAGCAAACUACCUGGUGCAGGGUCCAAGCAAUUAGAAAGUGAUGUUCAAGAAUUCCAACAAAGGAUAAAGGAAGAUCCUUCAGAGGGUGCAUCAAAAGCAUCACAUGUUAAUAUCACUGCUAAAAAUGUUGCUGAGAAUCAUAAAGAUGCUCGAAAGAAGGCUGAAGUACAGGAUUUGAAGCAUGCAUCUAAUUCACAUUUAGUCCCACAAGUUCAUGGUGCAAAUUCAUUUCCUUCUGUUGACCAGGGAAGAAAUCAGCUGCAGCCAAUGCACUACGGGACUUCAGCUCAACACAGACCUGGCAAUGUGUCUGCGCCGCAAUCAACACCUCAACCAUUAAACUCUCAGCAGCCUGGAUUGGGUCACCCUCAUGGUCAAUUUAGGCCACAAGGACCUGGACAAGCUCCCCAAAGACCGCCUUUCAGUGCAGCCGAAAAUUCCCAGGCAUCUAUUCCUAAGCAUCCCCAUGGUCCUAUUCCUCCCGAAAAUGCAUCUGGAGGAAAUUUAGGCCCUGGCUCAUCAGGAUCUUUUGCUAGACCGGGUAAUAUGGGUUAUCAUCAAGGAAAUAUGCCACCUUAUCAAGCUGGACAACCUCAUAAUCCUUCAGGGGAGCCUUCUGUUGGGCCCUCAUUUGCUGGUCCGAGGCCUGGUGCAUUUGAUUCUCAUGUUGGUAUAGGCGGGAGAGAACGCACUGAUGCUGAGAAGCGUCCUCCACAUCCAAUGGAGAGUGAAAAGUUUCAGGGUCACAGGCCUGAUUAUUUUGAUGGUAGAAAACCAGAAGCACUUUCUCAUGCCCAGCCUGGUAUACAUCCCGGUAUUAUGAAAUUCGGUGGUCCUUCAGCUCAUGAUUCUGCUUCCGCUCCUGGUUCAAGGGAUGAAAGGGUUAAGCUAUUUCCCGAGGAGCGUUUGAAACCCUUUCCUCACAGGGACUUUGAAGAAGAUUUGAGGAAAUUCCCAAGACCCUCUCAUUUUGAAACCGGGCCUUCAUCAAGAUUUGGUUCUCAUUUUUCAUCAUCUGGGCCACUUGAUCAUGGUCCUCAUAUGUUUGGUGGAGAAGGAAUGCCGAGGCCCUUUGACAAGGCGCCACAUGGAUUUGACCAUGAUUCAGGACUGAAAAUGGAUUCUGGUCCUUCAAGAUUUUUGCCACCAUUCCAUGCAAACGAUGCUGGUGAAAGGAGCCGACCUGCAGGUUUUCCUGAUGAUAACAUGGGCAGAGGGGAUUUUGGGCACCGUCCUGAUUUUCCUGGACCGGCUCCUGGUCCUGGAUUUGGCCGGCCCAGAUUGGAUGGUUUGCCGCCUAGAAGUCCGGGUAGGGACUUUCCAGGUUUUUCUUCUCGUCCGUUUGGUGCCUAUGCGGAAGAUGGUGGAAAUGAGUCACGGCCUUUUGAAGGUUCCAGACCCUACAAUUUUCCUGCGGAAUCAUUUGGGAAAUCAAUCCGUGACAACAGGUUUCCAGUUCCACCUAACCAUUUGCAAAGAGGUGAGCUUGAUGUUCCUGGAAAUUUGCACGCGGGUGAACAUUUCAUCGGGGGCCCUCGUAAUCAAGAUACACUGCCUCCUUUUUUACGAAGAGAACAUAUGGGUCCUCGGAAUUCGCAUACUGGUGAAGUGACUGCUUUUGGUCCUUCAGGUGGUCAUCCACGGAUGGGAGAACCUCCCCUGACAGGAAAUUUUCCACAGCAUCUACCUUUUGGUGAAUCCUUUGGAGGUGAGAAGCCAGGGCACCCUCUGGUAGGAGAGCAUGGAUUCAGGGGUAGCUCUGGUUUUCAGCGAUAUGGACGUGAAGGUGGAUUUUUUCCAGAGGAGAUGGAGCCUUUUGAUAACCCAAGAAUGCGUGGACCUAGAAGCAUUAUGUGUCGCAUUUGUAAAGUUGAGUGUGGAACCGUGGAAGGUUUGGACUUGCAUUCACAAUCAAGAGAACAUCAAAGAAAGGCUAGGGAAAUGGUCUUAGGCAUCAAACAGUCCAAUAAAAAGAAGCAAAAGUUAUCGAAAGAUCAAGCUUCAGUUGAAGGAAGAAAUGGAGGGAGGCCAAAGAAUUCCAAUUUUCAAGGCCGUGGAAAUAAGCGUUAAAGGCUUGAUGGUUGUAUUGGCUGACAAGCAAUCCCGUGGUUUUGUAGCUGACAGGCUGCGUUUGUUCCUUCAGUAUUUUGCAUUUAGUGAAAUAGGUGAUGCAGCUUUCUGUAUCUCUUUCUUUUGCUGGUUGGUUUAUGCCAGUUUUGUCAUUUCAGGUUGCUGCUAUGUUAGGGGAGAUGGUAUUUUGGGACUGAAGUAUAUCAGUGGCAAUAUUUUCACUGAACCCGUCUUUUUCGGCGAUGCUGACAAGGAAAAGGCUGAAAAGCAGAAUGGUUUACCUUGCAGUCGUCUUUAGAGUGUGCGGGGAUGAGCUUACGACACAUAAAUGGAAGAGAAAGCGGAAGAGGUGAUUUAAGAUACAAGCAGACAUCAGUACUAUCCUGUGUCGGGAUUCGUAUGAACACUAGGGAUUCUUUGAUCGUGAUUAGGCUAUAAUCUUACAAUAAGUAUGCUUGAGAAAAGGCAGUUGUCUCCAUAUUGGUACUUGCUCAGUUGCUUGGCUAGACAAUGUGGUGCGGGAUUGUGUUUCAUUCUGUUAAAGAUUUGUGUAUUCGUGUCUGGCUUGAAGCACCAAUAAACUGAUGCAGACGCAGCUUUGGAACCCCCCUUUGUCCCUAAGUGCGCUAAGAGAAUCUUAUGAGGACCCUUGAAGUGUGUCGUAUUUUGUAUCUUUGUCACCUGACAAAAUACAGAAGGUAUGUCCGCAUGUGUGCUUCAUAAGGUGCUUUAUUGUCAUUUUCCAUCUUCUCUGGAAGUAAUGUUGUCCUAGGUGUCUAGGCCUUAUAUUACUUUGGGCAGCCAUGGAAGAUAAAAUGGAUUUUUUUUAUUAGCUCACUGUUUCACCAUGGCGUACUAUCACGUCUUCUGAUUUAUCAGCUUAUUUCAGUAAGGGUGUUUGACUUCAUGGUUAUUGAUGAAUGUAACUGUAUACAGGGUAGCUACAAGUGACUUGAUCCUAGUGAAUUGAUUUGACAUCAGUUCCUAAUUUAGAGGCUGAAGAUUUUUAUUUAUCUAUUUCUCUGUUUUGGAAUUGAAAUACAAUUUGUUCAUUUUUUUGUCUUGAGCUAGAUCAGAAUUAGAAAUGCUGUUGGACCUUAUAUGCUACCUGUUUUACUGGUUGUUUCAUCUGUCUGUGCUCAAAAUUAGAAAUAGAAAACAAAAAAAAGAAGCAAAAGAAUUCCUUUCAGCUUUGUCUCCUUAACAGUUGGCUUCUUUAAAGCAUUUUUUUCCUGGUGAGAAUUCCCUGAAUGUCUGAGAUUCUUCCUAGAUACCCUCUGGUCUUGUGGCGAUUCUUGCUGUCUUGAUCUUUGUUUUUACUACUUGUCAAAGUUCAUACUAUUAUGAGCAUUGAACGAGUAUCUUGUGAGUUCUCAUACUCUCCAGGUCUCAGUUUUCUGACUCUCAGUAGUUGAAGACUAUGACUUGUCAUGGUAGAAAAGUAAUUUCUCUUUUAAGGGAUUGAACUGUUGAAGGAGGCAUUUAGACCACUGAACUGUUUCCCUAUAAAAUAAGUACGUAUUGUGGAUUUUUAGGAAUACAGGUACGUGCCUUGAUGUUAAGGAAGUAGAGAGCACAAACCAGUUUGUUGGGGAUGUGGUUCCUUAAAGUUUCUUUCGUUCUUGUUGGUAAGUAGGAAUUGCUUUUUCUAAGGCAGCUCUCCCAGACUCUUUAGAUGAUUUGAGCAUUUGCUUGCUGAAAAUCCCGUCAUUUGUCCUAAAUGUUUGGUGAUGCUAACACUAACAGUUAUUUUGCAGUGUGAAUGUGUAUUAUUUUUUUUUGCUAGGUGUAGACAACUGAAACCCAGCACUUCUUUGUGGAGAGACUUCUUGGUUUUCUUGAUCACCAGCACUUUUAAUCUUAUGUGCAAGUUGCAAUAAUACUCUCAUUUGCUCGGCCUCUUUUUAUUUCUUUUACUGCUCUCUAUGCUGUUUGUAUACAUUAGAAAGUGUACCGAAGGCUGUGGAAAUUUGGUGGUAAACUUUAUUUUUUUCCUUCUUUGGUUGAUGUAUUCUCUUAUUUUUAGCUGAUGGUUGUAUUAGCAGUUCCAGGCAAGGUUUGUG